AACCCUGUAGAUCCGAAUUUGUGUAAGUUGUAAAUUCUGUCACAAGUUCGAAUCUCACGGUACC
Molecule: microRNA precursor, 64 nt
Filed under: Patiria miniata (bat star)
Lineage: Eukaryota; Metazoa; Echinodermata; Asteroidea; Valvatida; Asterinidae
Description: Pmi-Mir-10-P1_pre stem-loop
Source: RNAcentral